This 1641-nucleotide long non-coding RNA is filed under the name Mytilus galloprovincialis (Mediterranean mussel). The record is from RNAcentral. Lineage: Eukaryota; Metazoa; Mollusca; Bivalvia; Mytilida; Mytilidae.
CAUUGUCAAUCAUAUAUUGAGUAUCCAGAUGAUGAAUACGGCGAUGUUGUUUUUUGGGAACAGCUUAUAAGGGCAAUCAAAUCCUGCUAGUGAAUAUGUCCUGUUUGUAACGUAUCGUUAACUAUGUAAAAGGACUUCCGGUAUGCAUUUGGGAUUUUAUUUGUGUUUAAUUAGUUGUUUUGUCUAGAGACAUUAUGUAAAUAUUAUUACUUCGUCUCGACUACAUGAAUCAUUGCUUUAGCAAAUAUAAAUAAUUGAUUUAAUUUUGUAAAUCAUAUAUUAAGUAUCCAAAUGAUGAGUACGGCGUUGUUGUCUUUUGGGAACAGCUUCAAAAGGCUAUCAAAUCCUUCUAGUAGAUAAGUCUUCUAGUUAACGCUUCUUAUCGUUAUUUAUAUACAAGGACUUCCAGCAUGCAUUUGGCUUAAUAAGUGUGUUAUAUUAUAUGUUUUGUCAACAAUAGGUAAUAAGAUUAUAGGUUCCUCCGAAAUAGAUCAACUAUAAUAGUGGUAAAUUUGGAUUAGUUUUAUUACAGCACAAUUUGUUACAUCUGACUAAAGUAAAUUACCAGUUAAAAGUCGAUGCGUGUUCUUUUUAAGAUAUGUUACCAUUUUCGAAAACAAUUAUCAUCAGUUAUUACUGUAGAAGGUAUGAAUGACCAUGUUUAAAUGUGUUUUUAUUUUUGUUUUAUGAUCAUUUACCAAAAGAUGUUUUGUUAAACAUUACUUCAUGCAUAUUCCUUCAGUUUAAUUCAGGUAGAGAAAAAUAGUAAUACAAUACCUAUACAAAGGAUAUUUUGGAGUAACAAAGGAAUAAUUUUUAUGCGUAUUUAAUCCGACGAAUAAUGGAACAAUUGUUAACAUGUCAAUCGAUAAUGGGUUACUUUAAUAUGUUUUGUCAUACUUCGACAUAUUAUAGCAAUAACAACUUUUGAAAAAGAUAAAAUAUUACGUUUAAAUUUAAAAUUAGUUAGAUAAAAGAAAUAAGUAGUGGAGGAGUCACUUUAAAAUUUUACUAUUUGUUUUAUUUUUGCCACUUAUGAUAGGGUUAUACAAUCGAAAAUAUUUUUCAUGUUACAUAUUUGAAAUGUAUGCCAGUGGAUCCGAAAAAACACCUAUCUAAUGCAUUUCCUUUAAAUAUUCAACGCUGUCAACUUGAACAUAAAACCCAAAUAACCUAGAAUUGUCGAUAUCUUUAUUUAGAACAGAUGGUGUUUACCAUAUUUUUUAUAAACUUUGUUAAAUAGGUAGUACCCCUAUGCUACUCAGACUAGCAUUUUAGAUAACAUGGAUAAUGCAUCAGUUGUUUGGUUUAAGCUAUUUCUAAUGCCUUGCACCCUCUUAUUGAGGUACAACAAAACUAGAUAACAUUAAAUGUUAAGGCAUUUAUUUCUGCUGUAUAUUUACUAAUGUUAAAUAUGUUAAAAAAAAAAAUUUCAACAAUUUCAUAUUAUAUAUAUAUCUGUAACAUUAUCUUAUUAUCAUGUUCAUGCUCAUGUUACAUAAAAUAUAACAUCCAUUUGUGUUUUACUUUGAUUUUCAUACCUUUUUCUUCAACGGUGUGGUGUAUCUUCCUUUAAAAAAGGCUUGAUGAAUUAUAGGUGAUUGCUGUCCAGUUUAAAGAGAAUGUUGGCAUAUUCAGGAC